AACGAGCGCAACCCUCGUCCUUAGUUCGCAGCUAUUAGUUGGGCACUCUAAGGAGACUGCCGGUGACAAACCGGAGGAAGGUGGGGAUGACGUCAAGUCAUCAUGGCCCUUACGGCCUGGGCUACACACGUGCUACAAUGGUCGGUACAAAGGGUUGCCAAGCCGCGAGGUGGAGCUAAUCCCAUAAAACCGAUCGUAGUCCGGAUCGCAGUCUGCAACUCGACUGCGUGAAGUCGGAAUCGCUAGUAAUCGUGAAUCAGAAUGUCACGGUGAAUACGUUCCCGGGCCUU
RNAcentral lists this ribosomal RNA (290 nucleotides) under uncultured Pseudomonas sp. RNAcentral's name for it is "partial 16S ribosomal RNA". It matches the Rfam family "Bacterial small subunit ribosomal RNA", at positions 1091 to 1382 of the family's 1533-position model. The record is from RNAcentral. Lineage: Bacteria; Pseudomonadati; Pseudomonadota; Gammaproteobacteria; Pseudomonadales; Pseudomonadaceae.